Molecule: non-coding RNA, 477 nt
Organism: Pelobates cultripes (western spadefoot toad)
Lineage: Eukaryota; Metazoa; Chordata; Amphibia; Anura; Pelobatidae
Source: the annotation of a GenBank genome assembly
GCAAUAAUAAUAAAAAUAAUAGCUGAUAUAUUCCAUUCCUUUUAUUAAUUUUGUAGCCCGCCUCUGCACUUUUUUUAGUGCCAUAAUAUCCUUCUUUAGAACAGGUGCCCCAAAUUGCACAGCAUAUUCAAUAUGUGGUCUUACCAGUGAUUUAUAAAGAGGCAAAAUUAUAUUCUCAUCCCGAGAAAGAAUGCCCUUUUUCAUGCAUUACAAUACCUUACUGGCCUUAGCCACUGCUGAUUGACAUUGCACAUUGUUGCAUAGUUUGUUGUCUAUAACAAUUACCAAGUCCUUUUCGUGUGUUGUUAUCCCUAAUUCCCUUCCAUUUAGGGUAUACGUUGCUUGUGCAUUCUUUACGCCGAAGUGCAUAACUUUGCAUUUUUCAACAAUAAAUUUCAUCUGCCAUUUCAGUGCCCAGUCCCCCAGUCUAUCUAAAUCCAUCUGCAGCAAAGUAAUAUCUUGCUCACAUUGUUUUAU